Cheilinus undulatus (humphead wrasse) is the source of this 666-nucleotide long non-coding RNA. RefSeq lists it as uncharacterized. Lineage: Eukaryota; Metazoa; Chordata; Actinopteri; Labriformes; Labridae. The transcript has 3 exons. The record is from RefSeq and is a predicted model, not a curated record.
UAGAGAGAGAGGACAGCAGGUCAGUGUGGAAUUAUCCCAGCUUGUUAAAGUGGAUUUGGACUGUGGUAAGUGUGAGUUGCAGCGAGUUGCUCAGCUCAGACAACGGGCAAAAGUUUUUUCCUACUCACUGUCCACCGCCAUAGCCGUAUUCUAGUACAGCAGUCAUCCCUUCAGCUCGGAGGAGUGUUUGGUCUGUUGCUGUUGGACUUUCUGGGAAGGAGAGCAGCGGUCUGCAGAGUUCGGGGAGGUCUGAGUUGGAAGAAAAUUUCCGUCGCCGAGGGUCCAAUGGUCGUCUUGCAUGCUGCCUGUCUGCCAUCUACCUGCCAUCAGCUCAUCAUCAUCCCGCCCGCUUGUCCCGUCAGCAUCGAAGUGCACUUCUUUGUAUUCUUAUUGCCUGAACUAGGACACUUUUUUCAGUUUGAAGAAAACCCCUCAAAGUGAUCUUGAGAUAUCGCGACUAUAAGAAUGGCCUUGAUGGACAGACAACCGUCAAACACCAUCUUUCCAUCCCUGGCUAUUGCCUGCAUACAAACUGCUUCUCUGGAUUUUCUAGGCUUUUUGCUGAACAGCUGUUUAGGUCUACAGGCUCUGUCAGAGGAAACAACAAGGGGACUUUACAACACUGACACUUCUUCAGGGCAUUUCGAGGACAGCAGCUCACAGACG